GACGAACGCUGGCGGCGUGCUUAACACAUGCAAGUCGAACGGAAAGGCCCUGCUUUUGUGGGGUGCUCGAGUGGCGAACGGGUGAGUAACACGUGAGUAACCUGCCCUUGACUUUGGGAUAACUUCAGGAAACUGGGGCUAAUACCGGAUAGGAGCUCCUGCUGCAUGGUGGGGGUUGGAAAGUUUCGGCGGUUGGGGAUGGACUCGCGGCUUAUCAGCUUGUUGGUGGGGUAGUGGCUUACCAAGGCUUUGACGGGUAGCCGGCCUGAGAGGGGGACCGGCCACAUUGGGAUUGAGAUGCGGCCCAGACUACUAUGGGAGGCAGCGGUGGGGAAUAUUGUACAAUGGGCGGAAGCCUGAUGUAGUAACGCAGCGUGGGGGAUGACGGCCUGCGGGUUGUAAACCGCUUCCGCCUGUGACGAAGCGUUAAUGACGGUAACGGGUAAAGAAGCACCGGCUAACUACGUG
RNAcentral lists this ribosomal RNA (468 nucleotides) under uncultured bacterium. RNAcentral's name for it is "partial 16S ribosomal RNA". It matches the Rfam family "Bacterial small subunit ribosomal RNA", at positions 28 to 507 of the family's 1533-position model. The record is from RNAcentral.